RNAcentral lists this ribosomal RNA (497 nucleotides) under uncultured bacterium. RNAcentral's name for it is "partial 16S ribosomal RNA". It matches the Rfam family "Bacterial small subunit ribosomal RNA", at positions 28 to 507 of the family's 1533-position model. The record is from RNAcentral.
GAUGAACGCUGGCGGCGUGCCUAAUACAUGCAAGUCGAGCGAACGGACGAGAAGCUUGCUUCUCUGACGUUAGCGGCGGACGGGUGAGUAACACGUGGAUAACCUACCUAUAAGACUGGGAUAACUUCGGGAAACCGUAGCUAAUACCGGAUAAUAUUUUGAACCGCAUGGUUCAAAAGUGAAAGACGGUCUUGCUGUCACUUAUAGAUGGAUCCGCGCUGCAUUAGCUAGUUGGUAAGGUAACGGCUUACCAAGGCAACGAUGCAUAGCCGACCUGAGAGGGUGAUCGGCCACACUGGAACUGAGACACGGUCCAGACUCCUACGGGAGGCAGCAGUAGGGAAUCUUCCGCAAUGGGCGAAAGCUUGACGGAGCAACGCCGCGUGAGUGAUGAAGGUCUUCGGAUCGUAAAACUCUGUUAUUAGGGAAGAACAAAUGUGUAAGUAACUGUGCACAUCUUGACGGUACCUAAUCAGAAAGCCACGGCUAACUACGUG